Molecule: ribosomal RNA, 382 nt
Filed under: uncultured bacterium
Lineage: Bacteria
Description: bacterial SSU rRNA
Rfam family: Bacterial small subunit ribosomal RNA
Source: RNAcentral
AUUGAACGCUGGCGGAAUGCUUUACACAUGCAAGUCGAACGGUAGAGGGGGCAACCCCUUGAGAGUGGCGAACGGGUGAGUAAUAUAUCGGAACGUGCCCAGUCGUGGGGGAUAACGUAGUGAAAAUUACGCUAAUACCGCAUACGAUCUAAGGAUGAAAGCGGGGGAUCGCAAGACCUCGCGCGAUUGGAGCGGCCGAUAUCCGAUUAGCUAGUUGGUGAGGUAAUGGCCCACCAAGGCAACGAUCGGUAGCUGGUCUGAGAGGAUGAUCAGCCACACUGGAACUGAGACACGGUCCAGACUCCUACGGGAGGCAGCAGUGGGGAAUAUUGGACAAUGGGCGCAAGCCUGAUCCAGCCAUGCCGCGUGUGUGAAGAAGGCC